This 251-nucleotide ribosomal RNA is filed under the name uncultured bacterium. RNAcentral describes it as "partial 16S ribosomal RNA". It matches the Rfam family "Bacterial small subunit ribosomal RNA", at positions 524 to 776 of the family's 1533-position model. The record is from RNAcentral.
UACGUAGGGUGCGAGCGUUAAUCGGAAUUACUGGGCGUAAAGCGUGCGCAGGCGGCGCGUUAAGACAGGUGUGAAAGCCCCGAGCUUAACUUGGGAAUUGCGCUUGUGACUGGCGUGCUGGAGUGUGGCAGAGGGAGGUGGAAUUCCACGUGUAGCAGUGAAAUGCGUAGAGAUGUGGAGGAACACCGAUGGCGAAGGCAGCCUCCUGGGCCAGCACUGACGCUCAUGCACGAAGCGUGGGAGCAAACAGG